RNAcentral lists this long non-coding RNA (27160 nucleotides) under Lathyrus oleraceus (garden pea). RNAcentral's name for it is "Pisum sativum (pea) long non-coding RNA (PSAT_LNC030756)". The record is from RNAcentral. Lineage: Eukaryota; Viridiplantae; Streptophyta; Magnoliopsida; Fabales; Fabaceae.
UCCGCGAGCUCCUCCUUCCACCUGUCCAAAACUGAGCUCAAAUUGGAAAUCUCCGAUUCCGACUACUUCAAGAAGCUCAACUUACAGUGGCACAAACUCAUCAACAUUGACAAUACAACGACAUUGUAGGUAACGACAUUCUAAGGCCAUAAUUUUAUUAUGUUGGUUAUUUAUUUUACUGUAUAAUUUUAUUUUAUUUUGGAUCUAUGAGGUGUUGCUGUUGUUUCAUGCCAUUUGUUUUUAAUACUAGGAUGAAUAAAUGUUAUGCAUAGUAAGUUUUUUGUCUUAAUUUUCCCUAUGGAUAUUGUUGCCAUCGCCUAUUAAGCACUGGCACUGGGUGCUACAGAGGUUGUUGUUUGUUUAUGAGAUUUAGUACUUGAUUUAACCAAAUGUGGAUCUUAAAUAUAAAGGUGACCUUAGCUAGUACGCCAAAAUUGAAAAUGCACCCUUAUUUUUGUAGUAUAUGAUAGAUAAUUGCUUAUUAAAUAGGACAUUUAUAUGUAGCUUCGAUACUGAGUAUAGGUUAGUAUGCUGACACUAUUUUCUUAUAUUAAUGUAACAUUCUAGAUUUCGGUUCACUCGUGUAGCCAUUGUUGGAAUUUUACUCUUUCCAGUUUUUAUAUUACUCUUGCAAAGAUAUAAACAAUGUUUGUGUUGCUUUUAUUUUAUUCCUGGUGCGUGCAAAAUCCGAUAAAUUAAUGGAUUCGACCUUUUAUGUCGUUAUUCCACCAAAAUUUCAAUAUAUCAAUAGAAUAUUUUUCACCGUGUUUGGAUUUUGUAAAUGACAUUGACCAUGUUGUCAUCUUGCACAAACCGGUUUGAGCACACCGAUUCAAUUAAUCAACUUAAUUAAAUUCUGAUAAAUUAAUAAUUAAAGGUUGACCAGUUUCUUUUCCACUGUCUUUUCAUAAUAAGCAAAUUCGAUUCCACUUCAUGUUAUCAUCAACCCAUAAUCACAAAUAAACCGCACAAUUCUCAAUUCAAAGUUGAGCCCAUUUUUCCAAAACUUUGUAAGUCGAUCGCUUUUAGCAUCGCCGUCAACCUCACAUAGCUUACUCUUGGGCUUUCUUACAAUGAGAACUAUUUGAUUUUAUUCAAUCGAGUAGAAGAACGAUACACUAAAAUAAAAUUCAUUUCACUCAUAAGCACCAAAUUUAAAACCUCGACCCAAUGUCGAGUAUUUUCAUUCGAAUUAAAUUAAAGUACCCAAUCACAAUCAAAUACCAUUUCAUUUGGAAAUGAAAAGGGGGAUGGCUUUGAGUUUUCAAUUCCUCUCCUCGAUUACUUGAAUACGUGUUCUCUUACUCGGUUAGUCAAAUAGUCGUCACUUCCAUCCAUCUAAGCAUAAAAAAAUCGAAUCAUUUUAUAAUAAGAAACGAAAAGGGAGAUGACUUUGAGUCUUCAAUUUUUCUCCUCGAUUAUUUGAAUACAAGUUCUCUUACUUGGUUAGUCAAAUAAUUGUCGUUCCUCUACAAACACAUUUUAUAAUAAGAAACGAAAAGGGAGAUGACUUUGAGUCUUCAAUUUUUCUCCUCGAUUAUUUGAAUACAAGUUCUCUUACUUGGUUAGUCAAAUAAUUGUCGUUCCUCUACAAACUUCCAAACCUCGAUUAAACCAAAACACUUUCAUAAUGAGCUAAAUUAAAAGGGAGAUGACUUUGAGUUUUCAACUUCUCUCCCCAAUUGUUUGAAUACGAGUUCUCUUACUCGGUUAGUCAAACAACUGUCAUUUUUCCACAAACAUAUAACUUAAUCAAAUCAUUUUCAUAACAAACUGUAUGAAAAGGAAGAUGGUCUUGAGUUUUCAAUUCCUCUUCUCAAAUGCUUGGAUAUGAGUUGUCUUACUCAGUCAUUCAAGUACUUGUCGUUCAUUCUAAAAUACAUCAACCAUACGCAAACCUAUUUUCAUAAUCGCUCAGAUGAAAAAGAAAGUGGUCUAGAGUAUUCUAUUCUGUUUCCCGAUUAUUAGGAUACGAGUUAUCUUACUUGAUUAUCCGAGUAUUCGUGAUCCAGUCAAAAUACCUUAAUUAUUACUAAAACCUUUUAUAGUUAAAGAGGAAAAAGAAAGUGGUCUAGAGUUUUCUAUUCCCUUUCCCGAUUAUUAGGAUACGAGUUGUCUUACUCGGCCAUCCGAGUAAUCGUCAUCCAAUCAAAAAUACCUUGACACAUCCAACCUAUAUUUUCUCGCCCCCGUGCGAUCAAAACAAACCAAACAAAACAUCAAACACAUUAAUUCAACUUGUCACCCCGUGUGACCAAAACCAACAAACUCUACUCAAAAGAACACUGUUAAUCCUUUCUAAUGCGCACAACAAACUAGUGCUAGAGCCUCCCCCGAGAGUAGACAAGCCAACGUUUAGUCGUUAGAACGCUGACUUACACAUUCGUUCAUCAAACAAAACUCACAAAAUAUUCAUAGUAUCCCGAACUACGAAUGCUCUUAUUUCCUUAUUGCACCAUAAGGAUACAUAGGCAGGAGAUUGUUGUAUCUUCGUGAGCACACUAAUAAAAAAAACCUCUCAUUUCCCCUUCCUGAGGUCUUCAUCCAUAUCUAUUAUCAACUCUAAUUACUCGAAGAAAACAAACAACAUUCAGUUAACACUCAAAUCGCGAAAUUGAAGUAAAAGGUUCCCGUUGAGUACAACGGACGUGAGGGGUGCUAAUACCUUCCCCUUGCGUAAUCCACUCCUGAACCCGAAUAUGGUUGCGACGACCAUUAUUCCAUUUUCUUAAAGGUUUUCUCGAUAUUUUCCUAUUCCUUCUUUGGAAUGAAUAAAAUUCGGUGGAGACUCUAUUCGAACAUUUUUCCGCAUCCAAUCGCGAGGGAUCGCAUUUUUUUUUCGAGGUGCGACAGACUGGCGACUCUGCUGGGGACCCAUGCUCCAAGCAAGAGAGAGUGAAGCCUAACUUAGUUUAAUUUCUGUAUUGGGUGUUAAUCUUGUUUGUUUGUUUAUUACCUUUAGUCUAUCAUUAUUCUGUUGUAAUUAUUGUAUUGUGGUUUACUUCUUAUGAUACUAUUGGGAGUUCUCUGAUUAUGUGUACUGUGUGAGAUAGACUCUCUACCCGAGCCUGAGAAAAACCAUAAGUUUAAGUUGGUGGUUGCAUAGUGGACGCCCAUAAGGAGUCUUCCUUGUUUGGAAGAUGCGAAGACUCCGCCUAGAGGAGAUUCUCUUGAGAUACUAUUGUCCGACGAGCCUUCGUCACGACGAUGGUGUUUCAAGUUGGAUCAAUGACUCUAGGGACAUUUUAACCCACUAUCUGACGGUUAUGUAGUAUUAACCUACGAAGUUUCACACUUGUUGGGUUAAUACGAAAACCCCAAUCAGGUGAGAUCCCUUUGACGUAUUAUUACCUUACAGUAAUAUUUCCAACCUCGAUCUAUGACUCUGAGAACCUUAUUAGAACCUUGGACUCAAGAGUCGCAUAGUAGAAUCCCCAUGGAAUCUUCCUUGUUGGGACAAUACGAAGACCUCUCCUAAGAUGAGACUAUCUUAGGGGUAUUACUGUCCGACGAGUCUUCAUCACGGUAGUGAUGCUCUCGACGAGAAUCGAUGACUCUGGGAACCUAUUAACCUUAGGACUUACCCUUGGGAAUUUCAGUAAUCAGAGAAACCUAUACUUCCUCCUGUUAUCCUGAUGUACACGACGUGUGAAUGAUCUUGAGUAUUGGCAUUCCUUUGCGAAAAAUGGCAAAAAUUCAUGCAUUUGCAUAUCAUAAACAUGCAUUGCAUAUCAUCUUCCAGAGACAAAAACUUACACCAUAUUCUACCCUUUGUCCAGUAACACUGACUACUCGACACCGGUACGAGACACGCUGCAACUACAGGAUGACACUCGAACAACUUGGAGCAAACCAGGUUUCAAUGAGGACAGACAUCGACUCCAUGCAAGCGAAGAUGGACCGUUUACUUGAAACUCUAUUGCUCCUAGCCCAGAAGGAAAAGGAUGCCGAGACUAGCGCCGAAGCCAGAAAAGUUGCCGCUCAGUUUGGAUCACCAUCGCUUAGCAUCCUUGGAGUGACUGACCUUGAUGGUAACCUUGCCCAUCCUAAAGAAGGACCCAUCCCUAUUCAUGUUCCCAUGGUCAAUAUAAACCCCCAUGAGCCUUCCGCUACAACUGCUCGACAUGGAUCCAUGAUGGGUGAUGAAGAUCCAUAUGACGCUUUCUUCAUGCCAUAACCCACCAAACCUGCUGUUGGAAGUCUCCUAGACCCAGCUGUUGAGAGACUCCAUGCUCUGGAAGAGAAGUUUAAGUCCUUGGAGGUUCACACUACUCCCGAUUUGGACGUUGUUGACAUGUGCUUGGUACCAGGCCCCGUGAUUCCGCAAAAGUUCAAGGUCCCGGACUUUGACAAGUAUAAAGGGAUUAGCUGCCCGAGAACUCAUCUCAGAGCUUAUUGUCGCAAGAUGGCUGCACACAUCAGUAAUGAUCAACUCCUGAUUCAUUACUUCCAAGAUAGCCUCAAUGGGGCAUCCUUGGAGUGGUAUAUGCAGCUAGAGAGAGGACAAGUCCAGUCAUGGAGAGAUCUUGCUGAAGCUUUCCUUAAGCAUUAUCAGUACAACACUGAUCUAGCGCCCAAUCGCACCCAGCUGCAGGACAUGACUCAGCGUAAUAACGAGUCAUUCAAGGAAUACACACAACGUUGGAGAGAGCUAGCACCUCGUGUCCAACCUCCUCUUCUUGACAAAGAAAUAAUUGAUAUGUUUAUGGGAAUUUUUCAUACUCAAUAUAUGGAGAAAAUGGUAGGAUCCAGUUUCCCAACUUUUGCUGAGGUUGCCUCUGUGGGAGAAUGAAUCGAGAGCCAGAUCAAGAAGGGAAAUCUACCUUGCGCUGCCAAUGCUUCAAGUGGGAUAAAGAAACCCUAUCCUAAUCUCCCAAAGAAGCCAGAAGGUCAGACCAAUGCCAUAAUGAGAGGAGGAGGAUAUUGGACACAUCCAUAUGCUCCUGUGCCUUACCAUCAGGUUGUCGCUGUCAUCCCAACACCAUAUCAGCCACCAUAUCAACAACCAUAUCAAUAGUCCUAUCAACAACCAGCUUACCAGUAGCCACAUCAUAAUCAACAACAACGUGCUCCACCGCAACGUCAACCUAACCAGCAGGGGGCAAGGAGACCAGAAAGACAUUUUGAUCCUUUGCCAGUACCAUACAGCAAGAUCCUUCCCUACCUGCUAAAGGAUGGAUCAAUUGUUUUGAAGGAGCUAACACCUGCAACUCUUCCCUAUCCACCAGGCUAUGACGCCAAUGCUCACUGCGAGUAUCAUAUGGGUGCCCCAGGGCAUACAGUAGAAAAUUGCAAGGCCUUCAAGCACAAUGUCCAGAACCUGAUUGACAGUAAGGAAGUUACUUUCACGCCAGUUAGGCCAAAUGUUGCAACAAAUCCCAUGCCAGCGUAUGCAGAGUCGAGUGAAGCUCGAAGAUAAAACUUCCCACCGGCCUGGACAAGCAGAGCAAUUCCGCCAGUGGAUCAAAAGAUGAAGGCCCGUUUCUUUGAAUGAAGGCGAUCAUUAUGCCAUUUUUACCCUUUCACAUUCUUGUAAUUUGUUCUUGUUUGUCUAAGUACUGUAUUGCUUUAAACAUUGUUAUUUGUAUUUGGUCUUAUUAAUGGGAUGAUUAUGCAUGAUUUGAAUCAAUCUUUCAUAUUCACUCAUCAAUCACAUUUGCGAAACACAAACACAGACUUUUCCACUUCACCUUCUUUAUCACACUAUUGUUAGUAAAUGUUGGAAGGAGGAUGACGAAAACGAAAUACCCAUAAUUGCUGAUUGUAUGCUUUCGGAUAAAAUCCUACUAAUGAUGUACAUGCAUUGUUUCAAAUCCCCAAAUACUGGAGAGAUAAGGAGUUAAUCCCUAGUCAACCACUUUGAGCCUAGAAGUAGGAGUUUCUUUCAGAUCUACAAACCCUUACGCUUAACCUAGGGUAUGUCGCAUCCGCGAAAAACAACCGGCGGGCAAAAACAAAACAAACAGAGCCGCCACCGUGUGUUAUUUAUCCCAAAGAGGGAAAGGAAAUGCUCGAAGUAAACCUGGAAAAGACAUGGUCUCGUGACCAAAGAGAGAUGGGAUCGGGAGUCGGUUAUGCGAAGGGAAGGUAUUAGCACCCUAGCGCAUCCUGAUAGCGGGAUCACGCUCAGAAAGAAGAAAAGAAGUUGCAACGCUGCCUCAAAAGAAUGCACACACACUGCGAAACAACACAGUGAAGAAACAGGAAACGGGCUCGCUAGGAUAUCGCAUCCUAUGCCUACGUAUCUCAUCUGGAAUGAGAAUCAGAGCUACCGUAGUUCGGCUCACGCACGCCGAAACAAAACACACGCACAGACGCUGAGACGUCAAAUCAAACACGCAAACGGAAACUGAAUGCCAAUCGCUGGACUUACAUCAGACUCCGAACCAACAAACAUACACAGGAAACCAACUGCCAAUCACUGGACUUACGUCGGACUCCACACAAACAAACACCAAUAGGAUACGGACUGCCAAUCGCUGGUCUUACAUCCAUAUCCUAACACACACAAGAAGGUUAACCAACAAAACAAGUUACUAAGGAGUCUGGCACUCGAGCCUAGUAACUUUCAAGCAAACACACGCAAAAAGAAAAAGGGUCCCCGGAGAGAUCUCGUACGACCUCCUGCCUACGUACCUCAUCUGGUAUAAGGAUCAGGGCAAUGUAGUUCCCCUUAACAGGGGAGAAACUUUCUCCUAACCAGAGACUGGGAAAUGACAAACUAGAAGGGAGACUGACUCGAGCCUAAUAGUUAUCAUGUAAUCCACCAUGGUCCUAGGUUGAGGUUUCUANNNNNNNNNNNNNNNNNNNNNNNNNNNNNNNNNNNNNNNNNNNNNNNNNNNNNNNNNNNNNNNNNNNNNAUAAACAAACACAAGCAUUGCCUCUUAAGGAGGGCUUCAGACAGGUGCCUGCCCAAGUAACAGGACAGGUCUUCCAGACUACAUGAAGUCAGAGAGUUAUACCUAUGUGGUUAAGCAACCAAGCAAAAGCAAGUUCAAAUUGAACUUAAGCAACUUAUGUACCUGUUGAAACAUCACACAAGUCAGUACACAACUCAGACAAUCAAACAACAAUCAAUAUCAACAGUCAAACCCAAUAGGCAAAGGCAUAAGCUACAACUCAAACUCAAAUGAGUUAGCAACCCUACAAAACACACAAUGUUAGUAGUCAAAAGCAAGCAUCAAAUGCUCAAGUGAGAUUGCAUCAUGAACCAUAUAACCUGGAUGUUCAACCUGAAAUCAAAGCUCAAAGAUGAGACAAACCACUAGGUCAAGGCCUAGGGUCAAAGAGGGAGAAAAAAUUCAGAACAGAACAUGAAAAUUGACAUGAAUCAACUUCAAUCAAUCAAGAACAUCAUCCAAAAAGUCCCACAUCAAUAUCAUUCACCAAUUUCAUUUCAUGAACAAAAUAUGGAAAGAUAUGCACAUUGUAACCACAUUGAGACAACAGAAUGAACAAAUGCCCAAUAAAUCAAAUAUUAUUCAAUUAAUUUUGGGAAAUAUCAUGGGUAAACAGAACAAACAACAUGAUCAAAACACCAAAAAUCAAGGCAUUUGGACAAGUUUAAGCAUGGUAAUCAAAUUCAUCAAGUCAAAGCAAGCACAAACAAGCUCAAAUGAGGCACCAAAUGCUACAUCAACUUAGCACAAGCCUAAAACAGAAAUGGUAAAAGAUAAAAACCUCAAACCAAAGCCAAAACCACAUUCAACAUGUCUAGAAUUAGUGUGCAAAAUGUCAUAUCCAUAGGAUAAAGCACAAGCAUUUCACAAACAAAUGAAAAUCAUGACUAUUCAAAAGUUCACAAAUGAUCAUCCAGAAUGAAAAAUCUCAAUCAAAUCAGAAAUCAAUCCAAAAAUUCCACAAAAUAUCAUGAGCAUUCACAACAUUCAUAUCAAGCACCAUACAAAAAAUCACAUCAAUUGGAGUUUAUUUGGCAUGGCAAAGAAAUCCAUCAAGUUGAGCAUCACAAGGUGUGACACAAAUUGUCACACCUAACUUAGAAAAACCAUAACUCAGCAAUGGCAAUUGAUAAAAAUGCAAACUCAACACCAAAAUGUCCAGCAAGAUGUCUAGUUUAAGCAUGUAAAAUUUUAUGAGCAUUGGAUAAGAAUUGAGCAUUUCACAAUUGAUAUAUCAAAGCAAUGUCAAAACAUGACAUGUAUACACAAACCCUAGCACAAAAAAUUAUACAACCAUGCAUAAUUUCUGGAAAAAUAAUAAAAAAAAACUAGACACAAAAUGUGACCUAAUGCAAAAACAACCAUAUUUUUUGGAUCAAUAUUUAAUUUGUUUUGAUUUUUUAAAGUUGAAGAAAAAUUAAAAUCAUGUGAAACAAGUAGGAAAAGGCAUGGAAAUAAAUAUGAAAUGAGCACUUGAAAAAAAAUGCCCAGCCAAGAUUCGAACUGCCUGCAUAUUUGAACCUGAAUUGGCGCGCUACAUGGCAAAUCCAUGCAGCCAAUCAGCGCCUUGCCCUAGCGCAUGCCUAUGGCAACGAUUUUGAACCGUGGCCAAAAAGUGUCUUCAUCUUCUUCAGCAAAGCACGCAUGCAUGAACAGUACAAGUUCAACAUCAUCAUGAACAAUAUUCUCAGUUUUUGAAAUUAAGCACAUGUAUAGCUAGGUCUUUCAAUGUAUAACAACAAUCCACAAUUAAUUUAACCAAAAACAUCAUGAACAAUGAGAAUCAAUCAACUUAAGUUUCAUGCAUAGAACUUUAAAUCACCACAACUCACUCAAUAAUGCACGGUUUUCAGUGGUUCAAAGCUCAGCAUGCUCACACAAACAAGAUCUACAAGUCUAGCACAACAAUUUCAAGAAAAGAGAGACUCGAAAUUUUGACCUCUUGAUGAGCAACACGGUUUUCAGUGGUUCAAAGCUCAGCAUGCUCACACAAACAAGAUCUACAAGUCUAGCACAACAAUUUCAAGAAAAGAGAGACUCGAAAUUUUGACCUCUUGAUGAGCAACUUUCGAUUCGUGUGAUUUCAACGCCUUGCAAUGCUUCCAAUGUGUUCUAGCAAGCUUGUAUAGGUGUAUGGAUGAAGUCUUGAUAUUCAAUUGAGCUUGUUUCAACAGAUUUUGAAUUCCACCAUUGAUGAUCUUCAAGCUUGCAUAGGCUUCAAACUCCAUGAAUUCAUGUGAUUCUUGCUUGCAUCUUGCUCUAUGAUGAUGCUAGAUGAUGAAUUUGGCUAGGAAAAUGCAAAGUGUCUGAAGAAAUUUUGAGAAAAAAGUGAGAGAGAAAUUUGAGAGACUUUGAGAAUUCUAGAUCUAGAAUUGGAAAAUGUGAAAAUUCUGUUAUGAUUUGUGUUAUAUAUGCUUCACUAAUCAUGAUUAAUUAAAUUAAACCAAGUGCUAAUGAAAAAUGGUUAAUUUGGAGGUGUUUUGCAAAAAUUGGGAUUUCACCCUUAUGCAUGGGAUGCAUGUGAAUAGUGCACGUUUUUGGCCUUGAUUUCACUCAAAAUAAUGUUUUAAGGCCAAUGGUGAUAGUAGCAUGUGCAAAUAAUGCACACAUUUUGAAUUCUAUUUUUCCCUCCAAAAAUGCAUUGAAUUUUCAACUAUUUAUGUGAAUGGAAUGCAUGUCAUGUAAUGCCAAAUUUGGAAACUAGAGGUUAAAAGGAGAAUGUUGCAAAAAGAGCCAUCUCAUUUGGACAUUUGGUGUGAAAGUUAUGCCCCUUUGAAGUUCCAUGUUCAUUUGACCAAGAUUGAUCCAUAUCUCUUCAACCAUACAUGAGAAAUUCAUGAUCUUGGACUUUUUGGAAAUGGGAGAACAAGAUCUACAACUUUCAUUUCACAAAUUCAUUUGAAAGCUUUCUUGAUGAUGUUAUUUGAGGAGAAAACCUUUCCAUUCUUUGGCAAUUUUGAAUUUACAAGUCACUUUGUCUAUUUUUGCGAAAUUUUGGUCCGUGACUUUAUUUUCUUCAAUGUUGAUGUUUGAAAUGUCAAAUGAGACUUGUUUGAACAUGAAUGAAGUAUUUCUAACCACUUCCCACCUCCAAAUCCAACAGUUGACUUGUGGUUGACUUUUUUCAGUUGAUAGAUGACUUGAUCAUGCACAGAUGAAUUUGAGCCUCAAUCCCUUGAUGAAAUGGCUCCAAAAUGAAACCCUAGCUUAUACAAGCUCAAUAAAAUCAUAGGAUGAUCCCCAUCUCAUGAAAGACCUCAUCUCUUUGACAAACCCUGAUUGGCACAAUACAACUGAUUAGGAUUGACCAGAGGUCAAAACCCUAAUCCCAAGGAAUCUGAUCAGGCACAAUGAACCUCUUGGUGAUGAUAAGACCAUGAUGAUGGUGAUGUACCAUUCCAAUCCAAGAUAAUGAUCAAUCUCCUUGAGGAACCAAUAAACCCUAAUUGAAGCACAAACCCUCAGAUGGCUAGUGAUCAAUUCAUUAAGACUCUCAGGCUUGAAUCUUUUAACCUCUCUAUCUUCUGAGAAAGACUUAGGAGGAUGACUUGCUCAAUGUUUCCACAUGAUAUGCAAUAUGCAAUGACUAAUGCCCUAAAGAUGAAAAUGCAAUAUGCAAAGCUAGUCCCAAAAGAGGAGGGAAAAUUUUGAGGUGUUGCAUAAUUGCUGAUUGUAUGCUUUCGGAUAAAAUCCUACUAAUGAUGUACAUGCAUUGUUUCAAAUCCCCAAACACUAGAGAGAUAAGGAGUUAAUCCCUAGUCAACCACUUUGAGCCUAGAAGUAGGAGUUUCUUUCAGAUCUACAAACCCUUACGCUUAACCUAGGGUAGGGUAGUGUUCAGUUAACCUGACUACACAUUCGAAUUACAAGAUGAAAUAUUCCAUACAAGGAUCAAUCACAUGAUAUUUUUCGCACACAUCCUGAAGUGUCGAAGGAACUAUACAAAUCCAAAUUUUAUGACAGUUGUUCUUCAUUGACCAAUGACUUGGCAGUCACAAUUUUCAAAAAAAUCAAAUCAAAAAAGCCCGCUAAGUCCAACACCCUAAAAGGAGACUUAGGCAAAAACUGGGGCAAUCCCGAUGGAUUAAAGCUUCAAAAGGCGGUCCAUGCAAAAUUAGGGAUCAAAGCAAAAAUCGAGAGAGGCCAUGAAAGUCCUCAACAAAGAAAAACAAUAACCAGUGACCACCAUACCCAAGUCAAAAGGUCGCCAACAUCCAUGAAGAGAAAAAAUAGGAUGACUGUCAAGGGAUUGUACACUGCUGAACUCUCGCAAAAGUAAGUGUGUGCCGAAUUAACUGAACGUAGGAUUGGAGAUCAUUGUGAAAAAGGGGUGGGUUAAAAUAAACUUUGAGCCUUAUAUCCUUUUGUUUCAAAAAACCAUGAACCAAGCCACGUUACAACCCUCAAAAGACCUAAUUGAAGUAGGGUUUAUUCUGAAAGCAUACUACAACAAGGUUGCGUAAACUGACUCCUAGAGAUUUGCUAAUAUUCUAUUCUCACUAUAUCACUCACACGCCAGCUAAAAUCAACACCGUGUUUGGACACAUGGUCCACUCGUCACACACUACCACAAUACUCCCAAGUGAAUGAUUGUUUUUCAAAACUUACAUAACUAUUGCAUUAACAUCACCAUUUCUUGGAUAUGAGAUGUCGAAAUUCUGGUAUCAGAUAUGAGAUGUCAAAGGUAAUGUCACGACACUAAUAUCUGAACAAUACGAACAGGAUAAAAGAUAAAGAACAGUAAUGCAAGAGACACAAGCAAUUGUUAACCCAGUUUGGUGCAAACUCACCUACGUCUGGGGGCUACCAAGCCAGGAAGGAAAUCCACUAAACAAAAUCAGUUCAAAGACUCUCAGUAAACAACUUCAAGUUACAGCCUUUUCACCUAAUCUCUACCCGUGUGACUUCUACCUAAGAACUCUUAGAUAUGAGAUCCUACUCACUCCCCCUCAAUCACAACAGUGAUAUAAAACAAGAAUUACAAUGAAAAGAAGACACUCUUCAAAGAAUCACCUAAUCUCUACCCGUGUGACUUCUACCUAAGAACUCUUAGAUAUGAGAUCCUACUCACUCCCCCUCAAUCACAACAGUGAUAUAAAACAAGAAUUACAAUGAAAAGAAGACACUCUUCAAAGAGACAUACUUGAUCUUACUUAAAAGCUUCAAUCAAGUAAACACACACUCAUGCUUCAAAUCUUAUAGUGGACAAAUUAUAACUCAAAAAUCAGUCCAAUUCAAUCAUCUAUGGAUGAAUGAAUGACUUACAAUACACACGACCACACAAGACUAAAACCCUUAUUCUCUCUCAAUUUUUCGUUCGUUAUUUCUUGUGUAUAAAACCAAGUUUUCCAUGCCCUAUUUAUAGAAUCGUUUGGCUGGGCUUGGACAUCAUAAAACCCUAAAACUAUUUUCCAUUCAUAUCUUCUCAUGAUAGCUGAUUAUAUCUUGUUGGAAAAUAAGUCAAUCUAGUUGUAAUUACUGAUUGAGAGCAUGUUUAAUCAUCUCUUCAAUCAUACAUAGAUUAGCAUUAAAAACACAAUCACACAAUACAUAACAUUAAGACUGAAUGUUCUGUAUACAGAUGUCAUGACAUCGGGUCUGACAUCUCAGUAAAAUCCUGCAUAUUCACAUUUUAAACAUCCUGCAGGUACAUGUUAUCUUAUGUCAAGACAACACUUGUGACAUCACUGACAUCUCAGUAAAAUCCUGCAUAUUCACAUUUUAAACAUCCUGCAGGUACAUGUUAUCUUAUGUCAAGACAACACUUGUGACAUCUUGUGAACACUCUAGGUUUUACCAAAAUUGCUGCCAACAUAUAGAACCAACAAACUCCCCCUUUGGCAAAUUUUGGCUAAAACAUACAUCAGUCCAUUUGUUCACAAGAGUACAAAAAAACAUAUCAACAGUUUAACAGCAGAAGUAAUAAACCACACAUUUACUAGCUAUCAUAGCAACUAGUAAACACACAUAACACAUAUAUGUGCUUCUUCUCCCCCUCAGUCUGUUCAACACAGACAUCUCCUUCAACAACACCUGUAACAUCCAUCACUCCAUCUGACAUCUCCUUCAACAUCACCUAUACAACACAGAACAUCAUUAUGUUCAACAUCAGCUGUCAUCUGUUUAUAGCCUAGCUACUUCAUAGCACAUAUUAACUGCAGCUCUCCUCUACAGCUCUCCCUUUAGCUACUACUUCUCCCCCUUUUUAGUCAAAAUAGACCAAAGAGACCAAUGAGACAAAAUAAAUGUCUAUUAGUCCAACAGAGAAUGUCACAUAGAAUAUUAUAACAUAUAGAAUGUUAAAACAUAUUGCCAGGUGUUACAGAACCAUAAUUAUACACAGCUAUAUCAGCUGAGAUAAAAAGAAAUCCAAAGAACCCAAAAAUUACAUCAUGGCAUCAAAACAAGACUGCCAGAAAAAACAUCAAACAACACAUCAUCAUAACAGGGGGAACCAUCCUCACCACAACUCAGUCUGAGGAUCUAGCAUCUUCAUCAGCUUCAGAUCCAGAACUGUCACUUGAUUUAUCUUGAGAUUCAGACCUCUCACUUGAGACGUGGGCAUCUGUAUCCUUGGCUUGACCAAUAUUAUCCAUGUCUCCUUGCUCCAAGCUAUUAAUCAGAACCUCCGGAGCUUCUUUCCUAGCUUUAGCCACCCUAAUCCCAGUCUCCAAUUCCUUAUAGGUCUCUUUCAGUUCAGCAAUCAGGCCACCUUGAGAGGUUGGCUUCUUCAUAGCAGAUGUCAUGACAAUGUCAUUGACUUGACUGCCUUUAAAUAACUUGUAAUGAACUGACAAUGGAGGUUUUCUUCUACUAGGGAUAUCACUUGUGCUCAGUAUUCCAGGUUGUUGGCUUAGGAUUAUCCCACAAAUUAUUGAGGGAAACGCAAUGGGCAGCUUCACUGCUUUUGUGGAAGCAUGUUUGACAAUUUGUUCAAACAUGAACCUUCCAUGAUCAAAAUUAAGCUUGGUUCCAAUAGCAAAUAUGAUCCUCCCAAGAGCAUUAGAGAUUAUAGAGAUAUGGUUUGUUGGUACCCAGUUUGUUGACCCUAUCUUAUGCAAGAUAACAUAUUUCACAGUUAAUUUACCAGCAGAGAGAUACUUUUUUCUUGGCCACUCCUUGACCUGUCCAGCAGUUAUCGUCCUACAGACCUCAUUGUCUGUGGCCUCUAAUUCAACAACACCUUCUGUUCCUCUUCCUAGAAGCUUAUUGAUCACAGUAGGAGAAAACUUCACACACUUUCCUCUAACAAACACCUUGUAAAACUCUUUGUUGUUCUUGUCAGCAAUGUCCUCAGGGAUGUUCACCACAAACUCUUUAACAAGACCUUUAAAACAUUGAGAUAACCCACUAACUGUUUUCAUUAAACCAGCAGACUUGAUCAGGUCCAUGACCUCCUUAACUUCCACAACAUCCUUUCCCAGUUUUCUUUCCACAGCUACUCUCCUUUGGAUUACAAAUUUCCACUUGGCUGCACCAUCUUCCAGAUGGAAGGAAAUGUUAUCCAAAUGCACAGCAGCAACCUUAGCAGGGGAUUUUCUAACAUUUGACCUUUUGACAGGAGAGAUGUCUAGGACAUUAUCUUCAACAUCUUCCUCUGAAUCAGAAAUUUCUCUUACCUUUCUCUUCUUUACCUCCACUUUACUCCAAGACUUUGAAGGGCCUACAGCAGUAGCCUUCUUACCAGUUUUGGCUGUCAUCAUCUCAGCCACAGACCUACCCUUUCUGGUCUUCAUCCUUUUAGCAACACUUGGCUUCAAGUGAUGAAGCAAGCUAUCAUCUUCCACGUCUGAGCUUUCAUCGUCCAAGUCAAUCACCUUCUUACCAGAGUCAUGCUUCUGAGAAGCAUCUACAGAUUUCUUACUAGGCAAGGUUUACCCUAAAGAACACAGUCCUUCUGCAGCAAUAUCUUUCUCAAACCUAGAUGAGUCAUCAUCUUUCUCAUUGUGAGGUUCAACCUCAGGAGAAGGGUCCCUUCUAGACAGAGGACUAGACACUCCCUUUACCGAGUGUUCUUCAUUUAGGAUCCUCGAGACAAGAUUUCUAAUGACACGAUCAGUAUGAUACAUGUCAUCUUUAGAGGUAGGGUUAUCAGAACUGUUACCUUGAGUAUAUCCAGUAGUGGAGGAUGGACCAGGAGCGUCGCUUGGGAUGACUGAUAGGGGAAUCACUUCCAAAAUGUCCUCAUAAAGAAAAUCUAUGGAUGGUGUUCUUGCUUUGUGUACAAGUUUGGUGUUUUUAGAACUAGAAGAUGAAGGAUGUUGUGACAUCUUGUUGAGCUUGUGAAAGAAUUUUUGUUGCCCUAGUAGAGAUGGUCGAUAAAAUUUGAGGAAGAUGGAAGUGGUUGAGCUGAGGUUGCGUGUGAAAAUGCUAUAGAUGAUAGUUUAUAUACUAGGUAAUGAUUUACCAUAAAUGAGGCCCUUUCUUUUAAGUGGGAAGAUAAUAUUCUUAUUACCUUUUCCACUCCAAAUUAAUUGCUAUAAAUUCUCACGGAUACAAAUCCCUAAUUUCCCUCUUAAACAUUCAAAUUGAUUAGCAUCCAAAGCCUUUGUAAAUAUGUCAGCUAAUUGCAUUUCAGUAGUAACAUGCUCCAGGGCUAUGAUUUUCUCUUCCACUAGAUUGAUUAGCAUCCAAAGCCUUUGUAAAUAUGUCAGCUAAUUGCAUUUCAGUAGUAACAUGCUCCAGGGCUAUGAUUUUCUCUUCCACUAGUUCUCUAAUAAAGUGAUGACGAAUAUCAAUGUGUUUUAUCCUGCUGUGCUGAAUAGGAUUCUUAGAAAUAUUUAUAGCACUUAGGUUGUCACAGUACAAUGUCAUGACAUCUUGUGUGACAUUGUAUUCAGUCAACAUUUGUUUCAUCCAAACCAGUUGAGAACAACUACUCCCAACUGCUAUGUAUUCAGCUUCAGCAAUGGAUAGGGACACACAAUUUUGUUUCUUACUAAACCAUGAUAUUAAGUUGUUCCCCAAGAAGUAACAUCCUCCUGAUGUGCUUUUUCUAUCAUCAGCACUUCCAGCCCAGUCAGCAUCACAAUAUCCAGUCAGCAUAGAUCCAGAUCCAUGAGUAUAUAAUAUCCCAUAGUCACCGGUGCCAUUGACAUAUUUCAGUAUCCUCUUCACUUGGUUUAUGUGACUGACUUUUAGUUCAACUUGAUAUCUAGGACAAACACCUACAACAAAAGCAAUGUCAGGUCUGCUUGCUGUGAGAUAUAGCAAACUUCCUAUCAUGCUUCUGUAGAGACUUUGAUCUACACUAACACCAUUUUCAUCUUUGGAGACUUUCAGAUGUGUAGGAGCAGGUGUUCUUUUAUGACUUGCAUUCUCCAUGCCAAACUUCUUAACAAUGUUUUUGGCAUAUUUGCUUUGAGAUAGAAAGAUAGAAUCUUCCAUCUGCUUGACUUGUAGCCCAAGAAAAUAGGUCAGCUCUCCAACAAGGCUCAUCUCAAAUUCAGACUACAUUUAUUUAACAAAAUGUUCGACCAUCUGAUCUGACAUCCCACCAAACACAAUAUCAUCCACAUAUAUUUGAGCCACCAUGAGUUUUCCUCCUUCAUUCUUAACAAAUAAGGUUUUGUCAAUACCUCCCUUCCUGUAUCCAUUGUUAGUGAGGAACACUGUGAGUCUAUCAUACCAAGCCCUAGGAGCUUGUUUCAAGCCAUAGAGGGCUUUCCUCAACUUGUACACAUGCUUUGGAUAUGUGAAUCCUUUAGGUUGUUCAACAUAUACUUCCUCAUUUAAGUAGCCAUUCAAGAAGGCACUUUUUACAUCCAUUUGAAACAGUUUGAACUUCAGAAUACAUGUCACUCCAAGCAAUAGUCUAAUGGACUCAAGGCGAGCUACAGGGGCAAAUGUUUCAUCAAAAUCCACUCCUUCAACUUGAGUGUAUCCUUGUGCUACUAAUCUUUCUUUAUUUUUAGUAACCACCCCUUGUUCAUCAGAUUUAUUCUUAUACACCCACUUUGUUCCUAUGACAUUUAUUCCUUCCGGUCUUGGAACCAGUUCCCACACUUCAUUUCUCUUGAAUUGGCCUAACUCUUCAUGCAUGGCAUUGAUCCAGAACUCAUCAGUCAAGGCUUCCUUGACAUUCCUAGGCUCAAUCUUGGACACAAAACACCCAUGUGAGAUCACUUCCCUGACUAAGUUGUGACGCCCUUUACUUUGGGUCUUAUAUGAGAUCUUUAUGGAUGAUCCUUCUGAAGUUCCUGAGGGGGGUCCCUUGUUGAUUUGUGUCAGUUCAGGUUCGCUUGAGAGGUUCAUCUAUUAUUUUUUCGUGGUAAUCAGCUGGGCAUCAUUUUAGAAGAUGUCUCAACAUCGUCCUGUAAUCAUCAGUUGUUGAUUCAUCACUCACAACAUUGAUAGAUUCCAUCAUUACUUUUGUUCUGGAAUUAAAGACUCUAUAUGCUCUGUUGUUUGUUGAGUAGCCCAGAAAUAUUCCUUCAUCACUUUUGGGAUCCAUCUUCCUUCUUUGUUCAUGAUCAGUCAAGAUAUAACAUUUACUACCAAACACAUGGAAGUAUUUGACUGUAGGUCUUAUCCCUUUCCAGACUUCAUAUAAGGUAGUAGGAGUCCCUUUCUUCAAGGUUACUCUGUUGUGAACAUAGCAGGUUGUGUUCAUAGCUUCAGCCUAGAAGUGGUAGGGAAAUUUCUUGGCAUGAAUCACAGCUCUGGCUGAUUCUUGGAGAGUUCUAUUUUUCCUUUCUACCACACCAUUUUGAUGGGGAGUAAUGGGAGAUGAGAACUCAUGGCUAAUUCCUUCUGAUGCACAGAAUUCAGCAAAUUUGUUGUUUUCAAAUUCCUUCCCAUGAUCACUUAUGAUUUUGAUAACUUGACUUUCCUUUUCUCUUUGAAGUCUUAGACAAAGAUCUUUGAAGAUUUCAAAUACAUCAGACUUUUCUCUUAUAAAAUUGACCCAGGUGUAUCUGGAGAAGUCAUCCACCACUACAUAGGCAUACUUCUUCCCACCAAGGAUUUCCACCUGCAUGGGUCCCAUCAAAUCCAUAUGGAGGAGUUCCAGCACUCUGGAAGUGGUGUCAUGUUUAAGCUUCUGGUGUGACAUCUUUGUCUGUUUUCCAAUCUGACAUUCCCCACAAACUCUUCCUUCAUCAAUCUUCAAAAUGGGAAUUCCUCUAACAGCUUCAACAGAUAUAAUCCUCUUCAUUCCUUUAAGAUGCACAUGGCCCAAUCUUUGAUGCCAUAUCUUCACUUCUUCUUCUUUGGCUAGAGUACACAUUGAGGAAUAACCAGUUUCUUGAGAACUCCAUAUAUAGAAGUUGUCUUUAGACCUAACUCCUUUCAUGAUCACUUCAUUUUCUUUAUUAGUAAUCAGACAUUCAGUUUUUAUGAAGUUUACAGUUAGACCUUGGUCACAUAGUUGACUGAUGCUUAUUAGGUUUGCAGUCAGUCCCUUAACAAGUAGGACAUUGUCAAGAUUAGGAACUCCAGGGCAGUUAAGCUUACCAAUCCCCUUGAUCUCACCCUUUUCUCCAUCACCAAAGGUUACAUAGCUGGUGGCAUGAGGAUGAAGGCCAGUUAGCAGGUUUUUGUUUCCAAUCAUGUGUCUGGAGCACCCACUGUUAAAAUACUAGUCUUCUUUGGCUGAAACUCUGAAGGAAGUGUGAGCUAUCAAGUUUGUAACAACAGUCCUAGGAACCCAUUGUUUUUUGUUGACAGGUAUGUGAUGUUUGGGUCUAGGUUGAUGAUGAGAAGGACUAGGAUAGCCAUAUAACUUAUAGCAGAAUGGUUUUAUGUGGCCAAAUUUUCCACAGUAAUGACAUCUCCAUCUUUGAUAUUUCCCUUUCUGCUGUCUUCCUUUAUGAUGUUGUGACAUCUCUGGUUUGCUACCAGUGUGACUGCACCUAGGUUUAGAUUUAGGUUUGCUACCAGUGUGACUGCAUUCAGGUUUAGAUUCAUUGAACCUAAUGCUAGACUUGUCUCCUGCCAUUUGUCCAGUCUGGAGAAUUUUGUCUAAGGUGUCAGUUCCAUUGUUCAGCAUUCUGACAUACUUUGUCAUCUCAUCCAGUUUAGAAUUCAAGAAUACUGCUUCAGUUUUUAACUUAGAGAUGGUUUCCAAAUGUUCUGCCUUUUCAUUCUCCAACUGUGCUAUCACUUUCUUCUGACUUUCAACUUGUUGACACACUUCUUCACUUCUGUGACACAGCUUUCUGUAGGUAGUCGCUAACUCAUCAAAGGUCACUUCAUCAUCACUUGAGUCUUCAUCAGAACCCCAUCUUCCAGUCAAGGCAGUCACAAGAUUUGCAGACUCUUAUGUUUCACUUUCAUCAGACCAAGUAGAAGUAAGACUCUUCUUCUGUUUCUUGAGGUAGGUUCCACAUUCAGUUCUAAUGUGUCCAUACCCAUCAUAUUCAUGGCACUGAACUCCUUUUCCUUCUUUGGGCUUUUCAUCUGAUCUAGUUCUUCUUCCAGAAUUGUUGGAUUUACUGAUGUCAGAUGAGAUAUUCUUGACAUUAGCCUUAGACCUUACAUCCAUCUUUUUUAGAAGUCUGUUGAACUGUCUUCCCAACAAUGCUACAUCAUAAUUUCCAGAUCUUCAUCAAUAUCUUGACCACUUUCCUCCUCUUUCUCCUCAGUGUUUUACAUGAAGGCUAUGCUUUUGACUUUCUUUUCAGAUCCAUCACACAUUCCCAUCUCAAAUGUUUUGAGGGAUCCAAUUAGCUCAUUAACUCUCAUAUUGGAAAUGUCUUGAGACUCUUCUAUGGUUGUCACUUUCAUGGCAAAUCUCUUAGGAAGUGACCUGAGUAUUUUCCUCACUAGUUUUUCAUCUGCCAUCUUCUCACCCAGGGCUCCUGAGGCAUUAGCAAUUUCAAGUAUAUUCAUAUGAAAUUCAUAAAUAUUUUCAUCUUCUUUCAUUCUUAAGUUUUCAAACUUGGUAGUGAGCAGCUGCAGUCUAGAGAUCUUCACUCUAGAGGUGCCUUCAUGAGUGGUUUUGAGAAUGUUCCAAGCAUCUUUAGCCACCUCACAGUUGUUUAUCAAUCUGAAGAUAUUUGUAUCUACUCCAUUGAAUAUAGAAUUCAAUUCUUUAGAGUUCCCAAGCUCUAGAUCAUCCUCCUCUUUGGUCCAUUGUUCCUCAGCCUUCUUAUCAGUUGUAGCUUCUCCAUCCUUAGUAAUCACUGGAUGUUCCCAGCCUGUUAAAACAGCCUUCCAAGCCUUGUUAUCCAGAGAUUUUAGGAAGGCUACAAUUAGAGGUUUCCAGUAGUCAUAGUUGGAUCCAUCCAGAAUAGGUGGUCUGUGAACAGAUCCUCCGUCUCUAUCCAUAGUACCAGAAAGUAACGUCCUUAGAUCUCACCCAGAACCAGAGCAUGAUGCCUGCUUUGAUACCAAUUGAAAUUCUGGUAUCAGAUAUGAGAUGUUGAAGGUAAUUUCACGACACUAAUAUCUGAACAAUACAAACAGGAUAACAGAUAAAGAACAGUAAUGCAAGAGACACAAGCAAUUGUUAACCCAGUUCGGUGCAAACUCACCUACGUCUGGGGGCUACCAAGCCAGGAAGGAAAUCCACUAAACAAAAUCAGUUCAAAGACUCUCAGUAAACAACUUCAAGUUACAGUCUUUUCACCUAAUCUCUACCCGUGUGACUUCUACCUAAGAACUCUUAGAUUUGAGAUCCUACUCACUCCCCCUCAAUCACAGCAACGAUAUAAAACAAGAAUUACAAUGAAAAGAAGACACUCUUCAAAGACACAUACUUGAUCUUACUUAAAAGCUUCAAUCAAGUAAACACACACUCAUGCUUCAAAGCUUAAAGUGGACAAAUUACAACUCAAAAAUCAGUUCAAUUCAAUCAUCUAUGGAUGAAUGAAUGGCUUAUAAUACACACGACCACACAAGACUAAAACCCUUAUUCUCUCUCAAUUUUUCGUUCGUUAUUUCUUGUGUAUAAAACCAAGUUUUCCAUGCCCUAUUUAUAGAAUCGUUUGGCUGGGCUUGGACAUCAUAAAACCCUAAAACUAUUUUCCAUUCAUAUCUUCUCAUGACAACUGAUUAUAUCUUGUUGGAAAAUAAGUCAAUCUAGUUGUAAUUACUGAUUGAGAGCGCGUCUAAUCAUCUCUUCAAUCAUACAUAGAUUAGCAUUAAAAAUGCAAUCACACAAUACAUAACAUUCAGACUGAAUGUUCUGUAUACAGAUGUCAUGACAUCGGGUCUGACAUCAGUCAUUUUAGGACGUAUAAGUGUAAAAUUUGUAGGACGUCCUACAUGUUAUCUUAUGUCAAGACAACACUUGUGACAUCUUGUGAACACUCUAGGUUUUACCAAAAUUGCUGCCAACACAUAGAACCAACACAAUAUAAGACAAAUCUCCAAGCAUCAGUGGAUGAGAGAGGAAAAACACUUCGAUACGUAGCCCGUCUGAGGCAAGUGUCUCAAAGGCUAAUCAGGGGAAGAUUGUUGCAAGAGUCAUACGUUGGAGAAAACAGACUCAAGCCAUGAGAUAAUCACUCCUAAAGGUUUCCUUUCAAGGAGGAUUCCUGUGAACACCCUACAGACUGGGGCAAGACAAGUUGCAAGAGGAAAAUUCCCUUCAUAUCUUCAAGCUAGUCAAGCAGAUUGUGUCAGACACUAGUGACUGCUUGAACUCACGAACAAAAACGUCGAAGGUUCAUACCAGUACAACAUCACAUCUUAACGAGAAUCCUAGUGGCACAUCAAAGGCAUGACCAUCAUGCAUUGAUCACGUCGCUAUGCUCAGUUACAGGCUAGCCAGACAUCUCAGAAGAAGAAGCCGAGAUCUUCUCAAAGACAAAUACACAAUAUAUCAACAAGAAAUCAAACUUGGGGCACCAAGAGUAUCCGCAUCUACUGCGUGUUCAUCACAUCAUCAACUACCGAGUGUCGGGAAGUCAGAUUCUCCCACCAAUCAAUAGCUCAAUCCACAUUGAGAAUGACUAGAAAAGACCAAAGUCCUCCUGGCUGGCACUAACACAAAAUCAAAUACAACCAGCACUAGUUUCCAGAAGAUACAUCGCCUUUGAAAAGGGGGGCCAAUCCCUAUCAAACCAAUCAUCAUUUGCAUUCAAACGUGCAUCACAUGUAUCCCAUGUAUCACCUCAUACAUAACACAUACAUAACAUUUAUUCAUAUAGCACAAAUCAAAAUCCAAGGUCUAGUCGUAGGCAUCCAGGCCAACCCUCAGUUGAGUCAUUGUCACUUCCUCUAAGUGAGUUCCUACCCUAUUAUCGGGCGUCCCCCAUUAAGUUACAUCCUUCAACCUUUUGUUGAUAAGGUAUUAUCCUCAGCUAAGUCAAACAUUGUUUCUUUAAACACCUACCUUGUUUCGCGUUGAGCGUCCCUCAAUGAGUUGUUUCCUAUAACCUUUUGUUGAUGAAAAUUACAUCUUUCUAGAGAACAUUUUUCUGCGACCUUUUGUUGUUGAUACCCCAAGCAAGUCUUACCCAGUAGUGUUCCAAUACUACCCAACAAGUCGGGUUUAUCGAGCUUUGUUAGUAGCCUUAUUUUUCUAUUAUUUCUCUCACUAUCAUCCUCUUGGUGAAAGUCCCUUGAUGAAUAAUGAUCAUCGCCCUAUUUACGAUAAUCGUUAUCCUUUUGGUAAUGGUAAAUCCUUGACAUUCGUGAUCUUACCGUCAUCCUUUUGGUGUCGGUGAUCCUUGAAGUUUUGUCCUAACCUUCAUCCUUUUGGUGAAUGGUGCCCUUUGCAAUUAUUAUAGCUUACCGUCAUCCUUUUGGUGUCAGCCAUCCUUGUGGUGACAGGGAUCCUUGUCAUUUUGGUUCAACCAUCACCCUUUUUUGAUGGUGAUCUCGGUUAUUAUGUUUAAUCAUCAUCCUUUUGGUGAUGACGUCCAGUUCAAUCUAAACAUCAUCCUUUUGGUGAUAGAGAUUACGGAGUUUGGUUUAAGCUAUCAUACUUUUGGUGAUGGUGACAUUUGGAAAGUCCAAUCCCACUGUCAUCCUUUUGGUGUCAUCAAUAUUUGAAGUUGUUAUAACUUAUUAUCAUCCUUUUGGUGGUAACAAGUUUCGAAGUUAUGAUCUACCCUUCAUCCUUUUGGUGAUGGUGAUCGUUGAUUCAUUAUCAUCCUUUUGGUGAUAACGAGUCCUGUUGUUUGUAGUACCUUCAUCCUUUUGGUGAUGGUGACUGUCGACUUAUUAUCAUCCUUUUGGUGAUAACAAGUUUUAUUGUUCGAUCCUACCUUCAUCCUUUUGGUGACGGUGAUCAGUAAAGGUUAUCGACAUAUUAUCAUCCUUUUGGUGGUAACGAAUUUGUUGUUUGAUCCUACCUUCAUACUUUUGGUGACGGUGACCAUUUGAGUUAUGGACUCAUUAUCAUCCUUUUGGUGAUAACGGGUUUUUAUUUUAUAUUACCUUCAUCCUUUUGGUGAUGGGGAUCCUUUGAGUUGUGUGACUUAUUAUCAUCCUUUUGGUGGUAACAAGUUGUGUUGUUAAUUUUACCUUCAUCCUUUUGGUGAUGGUUAUUGGUGACUUAUUAUCAUCCUUUUGGUAAUAAUAAGUUUUGAAGUUUUGUUCUCACCUUCAUCCUUUUGGUGAUGGUGAUCAUUUAAGUGGUUAUGACUUACUAUCAUCCUUUUGAUGAUAGCAGGUUUUGUUGUUUGACCUUACCUUCAUCCUUUUGGGGAUGGUGGUCAUUGAAGUUAUUUGACUUAUUAUCAUCCUUUUGGUGAUAACAGGUUUUGUUUUGAUCUUACCUUCAUCCUUUUGGUGAUGGUGAUCAUUUGAGUUAUUGACUUAUUAUCAUCCUUUUGGUGGUAACAAGUUUCGUUUUUGAUCUUACCUUCAUCCUUUUGGUGAUGGUGAUCAUUUAAAUCAUCGACUUAUUAUCAUCCUUUUGGUGGUAACGAGUUUUGUUGUUUAAUCCUACCUUCAUCCUUUUGGUGACGGUGACCAUUUGAGUUAUGGGCUCAUUGUCAUCCUUUUGGUGAUAAUGGGUUUUGUUUUGAUCUUACCCUCAUCCUUUUGGUGAUGGCGAUCAUUAAGUUUAUUUCGGCUUAUUAUCAUCCUUUUGGUGAUAACAAGUUUUGAAGUUCUGUCCUUAUUAUCAUCCUUUUGGUGAUAACAAGUUUUGUUUUUGAUCUUACCUUCAUCCUUUUGGUGAUGGUGAUCAUUUGAGUUGUUGACUUAUUAUCAUCUUUUUGGUGGUAACAAGUUUCGUCUUUUAUCUGACCUUCAUCCUUUUGGUGACGGUGAUCAUUGGUGAUUGUCGACUUAUUAUCAUCCUUUUGGUGGUAACAAGUUUGGUUGUUUAAUUGUACCUUCAUCCUUUUGGUGAUAGUGAUCAUUGAAGUUAUUUGACUUAUUAUCAUCCUUUUGGUGAUAACAAGUUUUGUUUGGUCUUACUUUCAUCCUUUUGAUGAUGGUGAUCAUUGAAGUCAUUUGACUUAUUAUCAUCCUUUUGGUGAUAACAGGUUUUGUUGCUGGAUCUUACCUUCAUCCUUUUGGUGACGGCGAUCUUUGAAGUUGAUGAGUUAACUAUCAUCCUUUUGGUGGUAGCCCUGAUAUUAUACUCUCGGUAAUGGGAAACUUUAUCAGAACGACCAUCAUCCUUUUUGGUGACGGACAUCGUCCUUUUGGUGAUGGAAACCUUUGGAUUGUGUCCAACUUUCAUCCUUUUGGUGAUAGCAAGAUUUGUUGUCGAUAUUACCAUCAUCCUUGUGGUGAUGGCGAUCUUUCUUGUAGCCACUGUAACCAUCAUCCUUUUGGUGAUGACUACCUUUGAAGCUCGGUUUAACCAUUAUCCUUUUGGUGAUGGACCUCAUCCUUUUGGUGAUGAUUCUUUUUAAAGCCCGGUUUAUCCAUCAUCCUUUUGGUGAUGAUGAUCCUGAAAAUCAUGGUGAAUUUCGGUCAUCCUUUUGGUGAUAUCAAUUAAUCCUACUGUCAUCCUUUCGGUGCCAGAAAACCUGUUCAAUUUUAGUCCCACAUUUGUCUUUACAUCAAUAACGACCUUUGCAAAGAUUUAAAUGUCGACUCGAGGGUUGACAUUGAUUUGACAUUCUACCCCUAAUACCUUGGUGUUGUUAGAAUUCAUUGCAUUUUCUUUCUGCAUAUCUCCAUUGCAUUCCAAAGGACAAAAUUUGGGUCUUUUCGUAUUUAAUUACCUUCCACCACGAAUGUAUGAAGACCGUUGUCAUUCUUACCUUCUAGUUCAAGAUAAUUAAAUAGGGGCAGCUGUCAUACCCCAAUUUUGUUCGGGCAUUUAAAUCUUUGUAAAAUUGAUUUCAUUUUUAAUUUGCAUCAUAUACACAGCAUGGCAUGCAUUCCAUCAUGAAUAAAACCUAAAAUAUCAGUUGGAAUAAAUUAUUGAAAAUACAGACAAUCGGUUAAAUAAUUUCUCAAAAACGUGCAAAAAUCAGCGGGUAAAAAGUUUCAAAAUUAAAAUUGCAGACGUCAGUAUUAUUAAUCUACGGUUCACGUAGUUUAACUUGGUGUGCUCGUCAUAUUUUUCAAUGACUGUUUCGGCUGCAUUGUGACCCGCCUGAGCCUUUUAACCGGUGAAAAUUUAUUUCAAAAUUUAAAGAAACGCUGUAUUUUUUCAAUAAGUAUAUUUUAUGCUGAUAAUUUUAGUGUGCCCGAUUUAAUUUUUCGAGCAAAUUUAUAUCCGGCUUCUAUUUAUAAUCGAUCACUAUUUUUGCUAGGUUAAUUAUUCAACUAAAGUAAUUAAAAGUUUAUUUAAAUCAAAACAUUUAUUAGGAAUUUUUAAUAAGAGUAUUUCUUUUAAUAAUAGUAAUUGUUUGAGAUUUAACAUUGGAUUCUUUGUAGUAUUUUUGACAACAUUGGAUUCUUUGUAGUAUUUUUGACAGCUAGCAUUGAAGAAGGAAAAAAGAUCUCUCAUAUCUCUCUCUCUCUCAGCCACGUCACACUCACAACAAAUACUCUUUCUCCCACUAACUCUCUCUCUAAUCUCUCGUACGCAUAAAAAACAGAAGAAAAAAACGAAAAAAGAAAAAGAGAGGCACAAACCACCACUCUCUCUCUCUCCUCACACUCACCUACAAUUACUCACUCACUCACAUCUCUCUCUACACUCAGACUCUCUCUAAAAAAUAAUUAAAAAAAGAGAAAAAAGAAAAGGAGGAAUUACUGUUCCUCUUCUUGAAUCCAUCCGCCGUCAUACUCCCCCACCGUCACAACCCAAAACAACCAUUCAUCACCACCAAAUCUACCGCGUCUCAUACACCAUAACCACCAUUAAACCAUCAAACAUUUGCUUCGACAAAAUCUCCAACUACUCUCUCACACUCACCAAAAACUCUCCCUCGCCUCACCUAUCUUCUGUCAAUCUCUGUAGAAAAAAAAGAGAAAAAACGAGAAAAGAAAAAGAAAUUGGGAAAAACUCUUCCUCUUCUUCGAAUCUCACAAGCCACUACCCCAUCGCCUCCAUUGCCUCCAACCGACGCGGUUACUUCCAUCACAGACCACCGCUCCACCUCAACAACCUUCAUCAAACCCAUACUCCCUCCAAAUCACCAACAACCAAACCAGAUCCAUACGUCUUAAUCCCGCCACCGCAAUGUAAAGAUCUUUGACGGUAUCCACUCAACAUGCGAUUUCUUAUUUUUGGUUCAAUCGAUAAGAACGGGGUUUGAAUUUAUAGAAAUCAAAUUUAUUUAGUUCCUGUUAUUUCUAAAAUUUUCUAGUUGGUUUUGCUUUACCAUGGUUUGGUUAGUUUUCUCAGAGGUUUAAUUUCAUAAGAUUGCUGCCAUAUUUUAGUGAUAGGCUUGCGUUACAUUCUUGGAGUGCUGAAGUUGCCAACCUUGUGCUUCACUAUGAAUCACCUCCUUCACCACCGUCGCUCCCGACGAACCUUCCAACCCUUCUCCGUUCAGACGCUGUCACAGCACCGCAACCAAACAACAACACCGUUCCGUGAGCUCCUCCUUCCACAUGUCCAAAAUUGAGCUCAAAUUGGUAAUCUCCGAUUCCGACUACUUCAAGAAGCUCAACUUACAGUGGCGCAAACUCAUCAACAUUGACAAUACAACGGCAUUGUGGGUAACGGCAUUCUAAGGCCAUAAUUUUAUUAUGUUGGUUAUUUGUUUUACUGUAUAAUUUUAUGUUAUUUUGGAUCUCUGUGGGGUUCAUGUUGUUUCAUGCCAUUUGUUUUUAAUACUAGGAUGAAUAAAUGUUAUGCAUAGUAAGUUUUUGUCUUAAUUUUCCCUAUGGAUAUUGUUGCCAUCGCCUACUAAGCACUGACACUGGGUGCUACAGAAGUUGUUGUUUGUUUAUGAGAUUUUGUACCUGAUUUAACCAAAUGUGGACCUUAAAUAUAAAGGUGAUCUUAG